Molecule: small nuclear RNA, 23 nt
Filed under: Arabidopsis thaliana (thale cress)
Lineage: Eukaryota; Viridiplantae; Streptophyta; Magnoliopsida; Brassicales; Brassicaceae
Description: snRNA_09313
Source: RNAcentral
UUUAGAUCUUUAGUAGUCAAAGA